AUUGAACGCUGGCGGCAUGCUUUACACAUGCAAGUCGAACGGUAACAGCACUUCGGUGGCUGACGAGUGGCGAACGGGUGAGUAAUACAUCGGAACGUGCCUCGUAGUGGGGGAUAACUACUCGAAAGAGUACCUAAUACCGCAUGAGAUCUAAGGAUGAAAGCAGGGGACCUUCGGGCCUUGCGCUACUAGAGCGGCUGAUGGCAGAGUAGGUAGCUGGUGGGAUAAAAGCUUACCAAGCCGACGAUCUGUAGCUGGUCUGAGAGGACGACAAGCCACACUGGGACUGAGACACGGACCAGACUCCUACGGGAGGCAGCAGUGGGGAAUUUUGGACAAUGGGCGCAAGCCUGAUCGAGCAAUGCCGCGUGCAGGAUGAAGGCCUUCGGGUUGUAAACUGCUUUUGUACGGAACGAAAAGACCUCUUCUAAUACAUGAGGGUCAUGACGGUACCGUAUGAAUAAGCACCGGCUAACUACGUG
RNAcentral lists this ribosomal RNA (482 nucleotides) under uncultured bacterium. RNAcentral describes it as "partial 16S ribosomal RNA". It matches the Rfam family "Bacterial small subunit ribosomal RNA", at positions 30 to 507 of the family's 1533-position model. The record is from RNAcentral.